This 2991-nucleotide long non-coding RNA is filed under the name Xyrichtys novacula (pearly razorfish). The record is from RNAcentral. Lineage: Eukaryota; Metazoa; Chordata; Actinopteri; Labriformes; Labridae.
AACAUCUUGUCACUGGUCUAGGGAAGCAGCUCAUCAAUCUGGUUUAUUGAUUGAUUGAACAGUGAUUAAAUCAGAUCAAUAGAAAGUGACAUUAGUCUACAUGGCCAUCAGUAAGAUUUGUUUUGAAAGUGCAACUGUCACGGCUCACCAGUUUCAUAGUUGACCACCAUCAGAUGUUGCCACUGCCAGCUAAACACCUCUGACCAAGUUUGGUCCAUGAAGCUCCAAAUGAGAACACUGGCCAAUUCGUUAUCUGUCUGUUAGGAAAUGAGGCCUUACAGCAGUGUCAAAAACAGUUUGCACCAUUAUAUCACAACUAUUACUUUAGUGCUGAAAUAUUCAAUACAAUCAAGUGAGAAUUUAAGUAAAAUAAGUUAAUAAGGUGUUGUAUAUAAAUUAGUCAAGUUUGGUAUCUUAACCUGGGGAUCCAAGGGAAUUGACUCACUGUUGGAGUUGGUCUCAAGUGGCCAUUUGAGGAACUGCAGCUUUUGUCGCUUCACCAUCAGCUUUAGUUUGAGUGUUUGCUGAACAUUUUGAUCUUUUCCUUUCCAAACUUUUGAUCUCUUACUUUUGUCAUUAAGUCAGUUUGCCAACUGUGAAAACCUAGAUCAUUUAAAGCAUUUCACAUCUUUACCCUACAAAAGCCUGUCCAGUCUGCGGAAUAAGGUAUACCAUGAACAUACUGACUUGGAUGUAUAAGUACAAGAGAGCUAUCUGGUUUAAUUUGUGUUUGAUCGUACUGUAUGCAUGCCACCUUGUCUCAUCUCUUUUCUUUUAACCACCAAUUAUCCUUCCUGACAUGUCUUUGGCUGCUUCUUCUGUAACAUUACAAAGUUAAACUAAAACAUAUUAUUAUGUGUUUAUCUUAAAUUGUGUUUUAAUAGAAUAUAAACCCAAGAACUAGCCUUGGCCAAUUUAGUCUGUCUGGAGGCUAUAGAGGGAUUUUAACCACAUAAAGACUGUAAAUACCCCAUAAUUGCCCCAACUUGCCCACAGGCUUAUCCCUUCUCACAAAAUGAGUCGGAUCAAAGUUUCGUUUGGGGUUGGGUAUCAUAUAGACUGUCAAAUCUCUGAUAGAUGCACAUGCACACCCUUCAUAAGAUGUCCUGAAGGACUAGGACUUUCUCUCAGUUGAUUUCUUUGUAUUAAAGAGAGGAAGACAUGAUAAAGUCUGAAACACCAUCCAUGUUUUCACAACACAUUAAUCCCCUGCAUCACUAAUGAUCAAUAAUGUGCUGACGUUAUUGGACGAGCUGACCGGUCGCCUGUGAUUCCCAUGUUGAAUCCUAAUGUUCUGCUUUCUGCAGCUGUGUGUGCACGCAGAGGAGGAUCCUCAGGAGAGCAGCGCUACAGCUGAGGCCCGGCAGGUCCGGCAUGGACCUGUGCAUGUGCAACGUGGUUCAGGAAAUAAUACUUGUGUAACAGGAGCCUUUAAAGAAACAUUUAAACUAUAUUGUCAACCGGAAUACAUCGGCAGUAAUGUUACUGACAGGAAGGAAACAACAGAUAGGGAUUCAAACUGCCAAUAAAAUCUGAAAAACUAAGAACUAGAGGUAUUACAAAAAGCACAGACAGAUUUUUCACAAAAGAAUGCAAAUUUAAAAAACUAUGUGGUCAUAAAUGGUAUUUUUAAUUCAUAAAAAAGACCCUCAUUGUUUGAUAGCUCAAAACCCCAUUAGCUGCAUUACUGUUUUAAUUCAAGGAUCAAACCACAAACUCAAAGCUCAGUCUUCCUUUGUACCAGAUAGGAUUGCAGCUGUUACUUGUUUUAGGAAAGAAAGAAAGAAAGAAAGAAAGAAAGAAAGAAAAAGACAGAAAAAGAAGUAAGAAAGAAAGAAAGAAAGUAAAAAGAAACAAAUAGAUAGAUAGAUAGAUAGAUAGAUAGAUAGAUAGAUAGAUAGAUAGAUAGAUAGAUAGAUAGAUAGAUAGAUAGAUAGAUAGAUAGAUACUGAGCAUAUAAAAGGCUGAUCCUAGUUUUCAUUGUUGGGAUUUGUUGCUUGAAGACGUACACGGGCUGAAGAAUAUGUUGCGUGUCGCUCAACAAUGACGCUGCUUGAUAUGACAAACCAUUUUGCUCUGUAACAUGAUAGAGAGCAGAUGUAGGCUACAUGUCGUGAGCAGGUAUCUCAGGUUCAUGCAAUAAGGAAUGUCCACCAUUGUUGUGCGACAUAAGAUCCAACCCUCAGGAGAGAUCCCGUCCUCUCUCUCUGACACACGAAGAGUCCAUAAGAGCCACAGUCCUGUUAGCAACCAUAUGGGACAGUGAGGAGAUCCUCUGACAACACUCUGCUGAGGACACCAUCACCCUAUGGGAGUAUUUCACAGAUAAAGGCCUUCAACUAAGUACUUCCUGCUUUUUCUUCACAUAGGUACAAAGUGCAGCUCCGACAAUGAAACGCAAAUACUUUCAGUGUAAAAGUGAAAUGGAUCGUUUAUCACUGACUUCUUGAACAAACCAAACAACUGCUAUAGAAAAGUUUUGUUACGCCUCACUAUUCCACCAUAUAGAGAAAUAUCAGAGAGAAGGCAAGGCAAAAGGGAGCCUGGGAAUGAAGCUUGUUUGGAAGCGAGCUUGGCCCCACAGGGUUAAAAUCUAGACUCUACUGCCCUUUACUCCUUGAUUUUGAUAAAGGGAGAGAGGAGAGAGAAAUGGGAUCAAAAGUAAGAUUCUUCACAAAAGUAGACCAAUGUUUGUGGAUUUACCAGCUCUAGAUAUUUACAAAUGGCUUCCAAAUUUCUAUCCAACGUAGGGGUCACCAUGCAUGACAGGGUUAAAUCUAGCAACUCCAACACACUGAGCUAUCCCACCUUAAAGGGAUACUCCAGCAUAAAUUCAAGUUAUGGUCAAACACACCGAAACAUCAAGUUGGACACCCCUUCAAGAGAUGAAUGUUGCUAACUGCUUGCUUCUCUACCAACUUCAGUAACAACCACACGAUAGCAAUACAUUGCGGUCUACGUCUCCACCCGCAAACCUCAACCAAAACGCCA